UCAUUAAAAGAUACUGGUUUCGAAAAGCACCAAUGUCUUGUCGGUUCUUGGUGUGAAGCCACUUGCAGCCAGCGAGUGAACCUCCAGCUGUUUUUUGAAUGGGGAAUGUUUUUAUUUUCCAGAAGAUGUCAUUAUAAAGUGAGCUUCUCUGAUCUUUCAACUUUCUGGUAAGUAAUUAAACCAGGCUUUUCCGUUUUCUGUAUGUUUUCUGUAUGAAGCUGCCAUGAACUU
RNAcentral lists this long non-coding RNA (231 nucleotides) under Calidris pugnax (ruff). Its description in RNAcentral is "lncRNA (ENSCPUG00000009631.1)". The record is from RNAcentral. Lineage: Eukaryota; Metazoa; Chordata; Aves; Charadriiformes; Scolopacidae.